This is a non-coding RNA of Oncorhynchus mykiss (rainbow trout), 5012 nucleotides long. Lineage: Eukaryota; Metazoa; Chordata; Actinopteri; Salmoniformes; Salmonidae. The record is from RefSeq and is a predicted model, not a curated record.
CGCACGCACUCACGCACGCACGCACGUACACACACACACACACACAUACAAACCAAAACAAACCAAAACAAACUGUAUGGGAAUACCAAACAGAGACACAUGGCUAGCUACAGAGACUGCCUCAGCUCAGCCAAUAUAUAUAUAUACCACACCUAGCUGUGCUUUACUUUACCAUGCACCAGAACUAUACUCUAUCAAUCACCUAGCUGUGCCAGACUUAGAAUGCAGAUGCUAAUGCUAAAUGCUAGUGCAAAUGCUAGUGCUAGUCCUUGUCCUAGUGCUAAAUACAAGUGCUAGUGCUAAAGCUAGAGCUAAUGCUAGUGCUAAUGCUAAUAGAAAACUUCAGGAGACUGGUUAAAGGACUUGUCAUUAAAUGUAUCCACACUGACAUCAUGCUACUUGAUUUACUUAAUUAGCACAGAGUACCCCUGCUUUGUAGUAGGAUGCUAGUAUGAAAAGUAGUGUUGUUACAAAACAGAAAAGAGAGAAAAAAGACAAUAUUGUUUGUGUGAUCUAUCUCUGGGUGUGUCUUCUGACAGCUGUCGUCGUUUCUCUGUGUGGGCUAAAUACAAAUGGACAGACAGAUAAACCGGUUUGAACUGGCUUCAUUAAUUCCUCGUCAUCUGCAAAUUCCUGAUACUCAUCAUCUUGGUAACACAAUGAUUUUGGAUGGACUUAUAAACCUGACUGAUUGGACAAAGCCAACAACAUCCUCUGGUUCCUCCCUUCACUUCCUGUUUUGGUGGAUGGGAUGAACUGACCUAUCACUGCAGGUGUUGGGAAGGAAAAGGGUGGAGCCGGGCCUAGUGCAUGUAACCUAGCAACAAACUGACAAUGUUUUUGUGUCUUUUCAACUCUUCUUGACCUCUGUUAGAACCCCAAAACCCUAGCUCCUCCCACCUGCUCCACCCCUCUCUCCUUUAUCCAUUAAAACUGCACAGCUUUCAGGAGGAUACUGUACCUCUGGUACAGAGAAAACGAAGAUGUUCAAGAGAUUAUGUAUGAGCUGUAUGUGUCUAUAUAUAUAUCCAGACUGUAAAUGCAUAUACAACUUACUUAUUUAUUGAUUAACGACUAAUGACGAUAUCAUUUAUUAUCGUUGAGGAAAACCGUGUAGUAGAGGUGGAUAAAGAAGGAAGGAUGUCGAAUGAAAGCAACACAUGGCUUUGGAGGUCUGUUCAGGUGCUUUGGUGAAUUUUUCUGAACGUGUUGGGGAGAAGGCUGUACAAACCAAUGGAGAGCCAGCUCUACCCCAACCUCCCUAUUCUAAAACGCUCUAAAAGUGGGCUUUUCUAAAAAAUAUAAUAGAAGUACACUGAAUGUUUUCAUUUCAAGCAAAAAAUAUAUAUACUUCAAAUGAUUCUGAUUGGUUGUAUGUAAUUGAGAAAGAGAGUAUUGUUUAUUGCGUAUGCCGUAAAGUGCUUGAGAAAGAACCACGGGAGAGCUGAUAUGCUGGACGUAUUUAGCCAUGACCAUGCCUAUGGUCCCUACAUGAUGUUUUAUAUACGCGACGGUGCGUCCAACCAGCCACUUUCCCUGGGUUUCAGUCCUGAGAGGUCUCAGGUUAUCUGCUGGGAAAUAUUUUUGAGGAUAGGAGGCAUUUUAGAAGAAAGCCCAAUGCAUUUAGUGGAUUCAGAUGUUUCAAAUGUUGCCUUAGGUUCAGAUUGAGCUGUACUGGUAAACUAGGUUCAGAUUGAGCUGUACUGGUAAACUAGGUUCAGAUUGAGCUGUACAGGUAAACUAGGUUCAGAUUGAGCUGUACUGGUAAACUAGGUUCAGAUUGAGCUGUACAGGUAAACUGGGUUCAGAUUGAGCUGUACAGGUAAACUAGGUUCAGAUUGAGCUGUACUGGUAAACUAGGUUCAGAUUGAGCUGUACAGGUAAACUAGGUUCAGUUUGAGCUGUACAGGUAAAUUAGGUUCAGAUUGAGCUGUACUGGUAAACUAGGUUCAGAUUGAGCUGUACAGGUAAACUAGGUUCAGAUUGAGCUGUACUGGUAAACUAGGUUCAGAUUGAGCUGUACUGGUAAACUGGGUUCAGAUUGAGCUGUACAGGUAAACUGGGUUCAGAUUGAGCUGUACAGGUAAACUAGGUUCAGAUUGAGCUGUACUGGUAAACUGGGUUCAGAUUGAGCUGUACUGGUAAACUAGGUUCAGAUUGAGCUGUACAGGUAAACUAGGUUCAGAUUGAGCUGUACAGGUAAACUAGGUUCAGAUUGAGCUGUACUGGUAAACUAGGUUCAGAUUGAGCUGUACUGGUAAACUAGGUUCAGAUUGAGCUGUACAGGUAAACUGGGUUCAGAUUGAGCUGUACUGGUAAACUAGGUUCAGAUUGAGCUGUACAGGUAAACUAGGUUCAGAUUGAGCUGUACAGGUAAACUAGGUUCAGAUUGAGCUGUACUGGUAAACUAGGUUCAGAUUGAGCUGUACUGGUAAACUAGGUUCAGAUUGAGCUGUACUGGUAAACUAGGUUCAGAUUGAGCUGUACUGGUAAACUAGGUUCAGAUUGAGCUGUACUGGUAAACUAGGUUCAGAUUGAGCUGUACUGGUAAACUAGGUUCAGAUUGAGGUGUACAGGUAAACUAGGUUCAGAUUGAGCUGUACAGGUAAACUAGGUUCAGAUUGAGCUGUACAGGUAAACUAGGUUCAGAUUGAGCUGUACUGGUAAACUAGGUUCAGAUUGAGCUGUACAGGUAAACUAGGUUCAGAUUGAGCUGUACAGGUAAACUAGGUUCAGAUUGAGCUGUACUGGUAAACUAGGUUCAGAUUGAGCUGUACUGGUAAACUAGGUUUUUAUUUAGCUGUACAGGUAAACUAGGUUCAGAUUGAGCUGUACUGGUAAACUGGGUUCAGAUUGAGCUGUACAGGUAAACUAGGUUCAGAUUGAGCUGUACUGGUAAACUAGGUUCAGAUUGAGCUGUACUGGUAAACUAGGUUCAGAUUGAGCUGUACUGGUAAACUAGGUUCAGAUUGAGCUGUACUGGUAAACUAGGUUCAGAUUGAGCUGUACUGGUAAACUAGGUUUUUAUUUAGCUGUACAGGUAAACUAGGUUCAGAUUGAGCUGUACUGGUAAACUAGGUUCAGAUUGAGCUGUACUGGUAAACUAGGUUCAGAUUGAGCUGUACAGGUAAACUAGGUUCAGAUUGAGCUGUACAGGUAAACUGGGUUCAGAUUGAGCUGUACAGGUAAACUAGGUUCAGAUUGAGCUGUACAGGUAAACUCGUUUCAGAUUGAGCUGUACUGGUAAACUAGGUUCAGAUUGAGCUGUACUGGUAAACUAGGUUCAGAUUGAGCUGUACAGGUAAACUAGGUUCAGAUUGAGCUGUACAGGUAAACUAGGUUCAGAUUGAGCUGUACUGGUAAACUAGGUUCAGAUUGAGCUGUACAGGUAAACUAGGUUCAGAUUGAGCUGUACUGGUAAACUAGGUUCAGAUUGAGCUGUACAGGUAAACUAGGUUCAGAUUGAGCUGUACUGGUAAACUAGGUUCAGAUUGAGCUGUACAGGUAAACUAGGUUCAGAUUGAGCUGUACUGGUAAACUAGGUUCAGAUUGAGCUGUACAGGUAAACUAGGUUCAGAUUGAGCUGUACUGGUAAACUAGGUUUUUAUUUAGCUGUACAGGUAAACUAGGUUUUUAUUUAGCUGUACAGGUAAACUAGGUUUUUAUUUAGCUGUACUGGUAAACUAGGUUUUUAUUUAGCUGUACAGGUAAACUAGGUUCAGAUUGAGCUCUACUGGUAAACUAGGUUCAGAUUGAGCUGUACAGGUAAACUAGGUUUUUAUUUAGCUGUACAGGUAAACUAGAGCUGGUAAAAAAGGAUUAAACCCUAAUAUGAUGUCAAGACAUUGUGGUUUAAGCCCUAGAUUAGGGUUUGUAAAGCCUAAAUAAUUCACAAUGAAAUUAUGUAAAUUAACAUAAAAAAUGAUAGGUAAGAAAAACAUAACAUUGCCAGGACGAAUCCACGAGGACAAGAGUUAUGUUCAAUCAGAUAAGAGUUAACCUAGCUUGUAGAUAAAGGUGGAUUAUUACUCUUAAAAAUGUAUUUGUAAAAAUGUAUUUCGUUCUUUUAUUUUGUUGUACAGUUAUAUUUUUUUAUAUAUUUUUUUUCUUAUUUUUAUUUUAUUUUACAUAAAUGAUUUAAAUAUUUUGUUAUCUCUAAAUUAAAUAUAUUUAAAAUCUUCAAUAAUUAAUUUUGAAAGAUAGGGGUUGAGAUAUGGAUGUUAACAGCUGUACUUUAAGACAUUAUUGCGUUAAUAACAAGCAUUUUAAAAUGUGAAUUAGUAUCAUGUUAUGGGCAAAGGACAUAACAUAUCAUAUUAUGUUAAAUGCCAGUUAUGGGGAUAAAUACCUGCCCAAAUUAUUAUGACUAUAACCAUAUAUUUGUUCUUGUGUUUUGGCACAUAUCUAUCUUCAUAACUUGAGGAAAGAUGUCAGUUGUUCAGAAAAUGUGCAGGAAAUGUGCAGAAAAUGCAGGAUAUGCAGAUGAGGAUGAGGGUUUUGUUAGUCUUCCAGGUACAGUUUGCUCUUCAUUGACAUCCUCCUGCAGGGUCAUACCACGGGACAGACAGUAUUGUACUGUAGUAGAGGUCUUAGUGAUGGAUAGAGCAGGGGGAGAGAGAAAGAGAGAAAAGAUACAGAGAAAUUUGUAAAACGGUGCAGAUGGAUUUUUCCCCUCCUUCAUAAUUAGAAGUGUUUCAUUUAUUGUUAUAUUAUUUAAUCUUUAUAAUAGCUAGCGACCCCCUGUGGCCAAAAUACGGUACUGGUUCUGGUCUCUCUACUUGGAAGUGAUAGGCAGAAUUAGAAAGAAGCUAAUGUAUUCUCUCUCUCUCUCUCUGUCUCUCCUGUUCCUCUCGUCCAUGUUCCGAUAGAAGUAAACUGUUCCUCAUUCUGUAUUCCGUAUCACUGUGGCACCACUACUGUUCUCCGUGCCCAUAUGACGUGUGUAACACGUCCGUGUCCAUGCUAUAUCAACGUGCUCUGGAUGUUAAUAACAAAGUGCUCAUGUGAUCAUA